RNAcentral lists this small RNA (105 nucleotides) under Streptococcus intermedius B196. Its description in RNAcentral is "Trans-activating crRNA". It matches the Rfam family "Trans-activating crRNA". Rfam says of the family: RNA-guided Streptococcus pyogenes Cas9 (SpCas9) is a sequence-specific DNA endonuclease, the Trans-activating CRISPR RNA form an hybrid with the crRNA (crRNA/tracrRNA). Lineage: Bacteria; Bacillati; Bacillota; Bacilli; Lactobacillales; Streptococcaceae. The record is from Rfam by way of RNAcentral.
UUUUAGAAUCAUUCAAAACAACACAGCAAGUUAAAAUAAGGCAGUGAUUUUUAAUCCAGUCCGUACUCAACUUGAAAAAGGGAGCACCGAUUCGGUGCUUUUGUG